UCUGGCGACCGGCGCACGGGUGAGUAACACGUAUCCAACCUGCCCUUUACUCGGGGAUAGCCUUUCGAAAGAAAGAUUAAUACCCGAUAGCAUAAUGAUUCCGCAUGGUUUCAUUAUUAAAGGAUUCCGGUAAAGGAUGGGGAUGCGUUCCAUUAGGUUGUUGGUGAGGUAACGGCUCACCAAGCCUUCGAUGGAUAGGGGUUCUGAGAGGAAGGUCCCCCACAUUGGAACUGAGACACAGUCCAA
This 246-nucleotide ribosomal RNA is filed under the name uncultured bacterium. RNAcentral's name for it is "partial 16S ribosomal RNA". It matches the Rfam family "Bacterial small subunit ribosomal RNA", at positions 87 to 334 of the family's 1533-position model. The record is from RNAcentral.